Molecule: ribosomal RNA, 484 nt
Filed under: uncultured bacterium
Lineage: Bacteria
Description: partial 16S ribosomal RNA
Rfam family: Bacterial small subunit ribosomal RNA
Source: RNAcentral
AUUGAACGCUGGCGGCAGGCCUAACACAUGCAAGUCGAGCGGAUGAAGGGAGCUUGCUCCUGGAUUCAGCGGCGGACGGGUGAGUAAUGCCUAGGAAUCUGCCUGGCAGUGGGGGAUAACGUCCGGAAACGGGCGCUAAUACCGCAUACGUCCUGAGGGAGAAAGUGGGGGAUCUUCGGACCUCACGCUAUCAGAUGAGCCUAGGUCGGAUUAGCUAGUUGGUGGGGUAAAGGCCUACCAAGGCGACGAUCCGUAACUGGUCUGAGAGGAUGAUCAGUCACACUGGAACUGAGACACGGUCCAGACUCCUACGGGAGGCAGCAGUGGGGAAUAUUGGACAAUGGGCGCAAGCCUGAUCCAGCCAUGCCGCGUGUGUGAAGAAGGUCUUCGGAUUGUAAAGCACUUUAAGUUGGGAGGAAGGGCAGUAAGUUAAUACCUUGCUGUUUUGACGUUACCAACAGAAUAAGCACCGGCUAACUUCGUG